GGGGACACGCUGCCUUUAAGAAACAUAACAGGCACCGUGAGGGUCCACGGCUUCAUUCUUGAAGUUAGUGAGACCAAGAACCCACCUAAUCCCGGGCACAAAACCACCUCAAUCUCCCAAAGACCGAAAGCCCUGGUGUCGCUGGGACCAGAGUUCUGGAGGCUGGAUGUCCAAGAUGAAGGCACUGCUAAACUCUGCAUCUGGAGAGGGUGGUUUCCUGAUUCACGGACAAUGUCUCCUCCCUGUGUCCUCACAUGGCCUCUACUCUGUGCGCACCUGGAGAGAGAGCGCCCCGUCCCUCCCUCUUCUGAUGAGGUCACCAGCCCUAUCAGGAAUGCAGGAAGAUGGACACACGGCUGGGGAAGUACAAUGAAAGGCCAAGUAGGCAGCCUGUUCUCCUCAGAUCAGUCCCCCACGAACACUCAUUCCCGAGGACUCAUCCAAUACUAAUAAGAGAAUGCUCUUGUUUUUGAAGAAUUUUCUGAAAGCCAUCCUGACAAAUUAAGUAGAGUAUGCUGAAGAUAGUCAGACUUUGUUUUUAAGAAUUGAAUAUUCUGGAAGAGGCUCUUCAGUCCAAUCUUUAGUUCUCUCCACAGAGCAAACGAAGUGAAGUGCUGAAGGCCUGGAGCCCGAGCUGUUCCCACACGGACUCCAGGACAGUUAAGGCAGGGUUGCCUUAACUAAAUCUCUGACAACUGUUUCUUCUGUCUUUCUCCUAAAAAUGGAAUGCAGGCCAUCUAUUCUAGGGAAAUAAAGGAUUCUAGUUAUGUGAA
RNAcentral lists this long non-coding RNA (773 nucleotides) under Homo sapiens (human). RNAcentral's name for it is "HSALNT0393125". Lineage: Eukaryota; Metazoa; Chordata; Mammalia; Primates; Hominidae. The record is from RNAcentral.